RNAcentral lists this ribosomal RNA (495 nucleotides) under uncultured bacterium. RNAcentral's name for it is "bacterial SSU rRNA". It matches the Rfam family "Bacterial small subunit ribosomal RNA", at positions 791 to 1284 of the family's 1533-position model. The record is from RNAcentral.
UAGUCCACGCCGUAAACGAUGUCUACUAGCCGUUGGGAGACUUGAUUUCUUAGUGGCGCAGCUAACGCACUAAGUAGACCGCCUGGGGAGUACGGCCGCAAGGUUAAAACUCAAAUGAAUUGACGGGGGCCCGCACAAGCGGUGGAGCGUGUGGUUUAAUUCGAAGCAACGCGCAGGACCUUACCAGCCCUUGACAUCCCGAUCGCGAUUUCCAGAGAUGGAUUUCUUCAGCUAGGCUGGAUCGGUGACAGGUGCUGCAUGGCUGUCGUCAGCUCGUGUCGUGAGAUGUUGGGUUAAGUCCCGCAACGAGCGCAACCCUCGCCUUUAGUUGCCAGCAUUUAGUUGGGCACUCUAGAGGUACUGCCGGUGAUAAGCCGGAGGAAGGUGGGGAUGACGUCAAGUCCUCAUGGCCCUUAUGGGCUGGGCUACACACGUGCUGCAAUGGCAAUGACAGAGGGCAGCGACUUCGCGAGGAGGAGCUAAUCCCUAAAAGUU